This 254-nucleotide ribosomal RNA is filed under the name uncultured bacterium. RNAcentral describes it as "partial 16S ribosomal RNA". It matches the Rfam family "Bacterial small subunit ribosomal RNA", at positions 524 to 777 of the family's 1533-position model. The record is from RNAcentral.
UACGUAGGUGACAAGCGUUGUCCGGAUUUACUGGGCGUAAAGAGCGCGCAGGCGGUCGUUCAAGUCGAGUGUGAAAGCCCCCGGCUCAACUGGGGAGGGUCACUCGAUACUGAUCGACUCGAAGGCAGGAGAGGGAAGUGGAAUUCCCGGUGUAGUGGUGAAAUGCGUAGAUAUCGGGAGGAACACCAGUGGCGAAGGCGACUUCCUGGCCUGUUCUUGACGCUGAGGCGCGAAAGCUAGGGGAGCAAACGGGG